GUGGCGAACGGGUGAGUAACACGUAAGCAACCUGCCCCUAAGUGGGGGAUAACUUCGGGAAACCGGAGCUAAUACCGCAUGUGGUGGCCCUUCAACAGAAGGGUCAUUAAAGCCUUCGGGUGCUUGGGGAGGGGCUUGCGUCUGAUUAGCUUGUUGGUGAGGUAACGGCCCACCAAGGCAAUGAUCGGUAGCUGGUCUGAGAGGAUGGUCAGCCACACUGGGACUGAGACACGGCCCAGACUCCUACGGGAGGCAGCAGCAAGGAAUAUUGUGCAAUGGGCGAAAGCCUGACACAGCGACACCGCGUGGGGGAAGAAGGUCUUCGGAUUGUAAACCCCUUUUCUCAGGGAAGAAUAAUGACGGUACCUGGGGAAUAAGUCUCGGCUAACUACGUGCCAGCAGCCGCGGUAAUACGUAGGAGGCAAGCGUUAUCCGAAUUUAUUGGGCGUAAAGCGCGUGUAGGCGGCUUUUCAAGUCGGAUGUAAAAUCUCCCGGCUCAACUGGGAGGGCCCAUUCGAUACUGUUGGGCUAGAGUGCAGCAGAGGGAGGUGGAAUUCCCGGUGUAGUGGUGAAAUGCGUAGAUAUCGGGAGGAACACCAGUGGCGAAGGCGGCCUCCUGGGCUGCAACUGACGCUGAGACGCUAAAGCGUGGGGAGCGAACAGGAUUAGAUACCCUGGUAGUCCACGCCGUAAACGAUGGAC
Molecule: ribosomal RNA, 702 nt
Filed under: uncultured bacterium
Lineage: Bacteria
Description: bacterial SSU rRNA
Rfam family: Bacterial small subunit ribosomal RNA
Source: RNAcentral